UAGGGAAUCUUCCACAAUGGACGCAAGUCUGAUGGAGCAACGCCGCGUGAGUGAAGAAGGUUUUCGGAUCGUAAAGCUCUGCUGUUGGUGAAGAAGGAUAGAGGCAGUAACUGGUCUUUAUUUGACGGUAAUCAACCAGAAAGUCACGGCUAACUACGUUCCAGCAGCCGCGGUAAUACGUAGGUGGCAAGCGUUGUCCGGAUUUAUUGGGCGUAAAGCGAGCGCAGGCGGAAUGAUAAGUCUGAUGUGAAAGCCCACGGCUCAACCGUGGAACUGCAUCGGAAACUGUCAUUCUUGAGUGCAGAAGUGGAGAGUGGAAUUCCAUGUGUAGCGGUGGAAUGCGUAGAUAUAUGGAAGAACACCAGUCGCGAAGGCGGCUCUCUGGUCUGCAACUGACGCUGAGGCUCGAAAGCAUGGGUAGCGAACAGG
RNAcentral lists this ribosomal RNA (429 nucleotides) under bacterium. Its description in RNAcentral is "partial 16S ribosomal RNA". It matches the Rfam family "Bacterial small subunit ribosomal RNA", at positions 355 to 776 of the family's 1533-position model. The record is from RNAcentral.